This 462-nucleotide ribosomal RNA is filed under the name uncultured bacterium. Its description in RNAcentral is "bacterial SSU rRNA". It matches the Rfam family "Bacterial small subunit ribosomal RNA", at positions 34 to 507 of the family's 1533-position model. The record is from RNAcentral.
CGCUGGCGGCGUGCUUAACACAUGCAAGUCGGACGAUGAAGCCCAGCUUACGUGGGUGGAAGAGUGGCGAACGGGUGAGUAACACGUGAGUAACCUGCCCAUCACUCUGGGAUAAGCGCUGGAAACGGCGUCUAAUACUGGAUAUGAACAGCGGCCGCAUGGUCAGUUGUUGGAAAGAUUUAUUGGUGAUGGAUGGACUCGCGGCCUAUCAGCUAGUUGGUGAGGUAAUGGCUCACCAAGGCGACGACGGGUAGCCGGCCUGAGAGGGUGACCGGCCACACUGGGACUGAGACACGGCCCAGACUCCUACGGGAGGCAGCAGUGGGGAAUAUUGCACAAUGGGCGCAAGCCUGAUGCAGCAACGCCGCGUGAGGGAUGACGGCCUUCGGGUUGUAAACCUCUUUUAGUAGGGAAGAAGCGCAAGUGACGGUACCUGCAGAAAAAGCACCGGCUAACUACGUG